This 1551-nucleotide ribosomal RNA is filed under the name Staphylococcus aureus. Its description in RNAcentral is "16S ribosomal RNA". It matches the Rfam family "Bacterial small subunit ribosomal RNA". RNAcentral also lists the same sequence under 1 other name. Lineage: Bacteria; Bacillati; Bacillota; Bacilli; Caryophanales; Staphylococcaceae. The record is from RNAcentral.
UUAUGGAGAGUUUGAUCCUGGCUCAGGAUGAACGCUGGCGGCGUGCCUAAUACAUGCAAGUCGAGCGAACGGACGAGAAGCUUGCUUCUCUGAUGUUAGCGGCGGACGGGUGAGUAACACGUGGAUAACCUACCUAUAAGACUGGGAUAACUUCGGGAAACCGGAGCUAAUACCGGAUAAUAUUUUGAACCGCAUGGUUCAAAAGUGAAAGACGGUCUUGCUGUCACUUAUAGAUGGAUCCGCGCUGCAUUAGCUAGUUGGUAAGGUAACGGCUUACCAAGGCAACGAUGCAUAGCCGACCUGAGAGGGUGAUCGGCCACACUGGAACUGAGACACGGUCCAGACUCCUACGGGAGGCAGCAGUAGGGAAUCUUCCGCAAUGGGCGAAAGCCUGACGGAGCAACGCCGCGUGAGUGAUGAAGGUCUUCGGAUCGUAAAACUCUGUUAUUAGGGAAGAACAUAUGUGUAAGUAACUGUGCACAUCUUGACGGUACCUAAUCAGAAAGCCACGGCUAACUACGUGCCAGCAGCCGCGGUAAUACGUAGGUGGCAAGCGUUAUCCGGAAUUAUUGGGCGUAAAGCGCGCGUAGGCGGUUUUUUAAGUCUGAUGUGAAAGCCCACGGCUCAACCGUGGAGGGUCAUUGGAAACUGGAAAACUUGAGUGCAGAAGAGGAAAGUGGAAUUCCAUGUGUAGCGGUGAAAUGCGCAGAGAUAUGGAGGAACACCAGUGGCGAAGGCGACUUUCUGGUCUGUAACUGACGCUGAUGUGCGAAAGCGUGGGGAUCAAACAGGAUUAGAUACCCUGGUAGUCCACGCCGUAAACGAUGAGUGCUAAGUGUUAGGGGGUUUCCGCCCCUUAGUGCUGCAGCUAACGCAUUAAGCACUCCGCCUGGGGAGUACGACCGCAAGGUUGAAACUCAAAGGAAUUGACGGGGACCCGCACAAGCGGUGGAGCAUGUGGUUUAAUUCGAAGCAACGCGAAGAACCUUACCAAAUCUUGACAUCCUUUGACAACUCUAGAGAUAGAGCCUUCCCCUUCGGGGGACAAAGUGACAGGUGGUGCAUGGUUGUCGUCAGCUCGUGUCGUGAGAUGUUGGGUUAAGUCCCGCAACGAGCGCAACCCUUAAGCUUAGUUGCCAUCAUUAAGUUGGGCACUCUAAGUUGACUGCCGGUGACAAACCGGAGGAAGGUGGGGAUGACGUCAAAUCAUCAUGCCCCUUAUGAUUUGGGCUACACACGUGCUACAAUGGACAAUACAAAGGGCAGCGAAACCGCGAGGUCAAGCAAAUCCCAUAAAGUUGUUCUCAGUUCGGAUUGUAGUCUGCAACUCGACUACAUGAAGCUGGAAUCGCUAGUAAUCGUAGAUCAGCAUGCUACGGUGAAUACGUUCCCGGGUCUUGUACACACCGCCCGUCACACCACGAGAGUUUGUAACACCCGAAGCCGGUGGAGUAACCUUUUAGGAGCUAGCCGUCGAAGGUGGGACAAAUGAUUGGGGUGAAGUCGUAACAAGGUAGCCGUAUCGGAAGGUGCGGCUGGAUCACCUCCUUU